Molecule: ribosomal RNA, 1040 nt
Filed under: Bacillus sp. 5LF 16TD
Lineage: Bacteria; Bacillati; Bacillota; Bacilli; Caryophanales; Bacillaceae
Description: bacterial SSU rRNA
Rfam family: Bacterial small subunit ribosomal RNA
Source: RNAcentral
GAUCCUGGCUCAGGACGAACGCUGGCGGCGUGCCUAAUACAUGCAAGUCGAGCGGACCUCUUCGGAGGUCAGCGGCGGACGGGUGAGUAACACGUGGGCAACCUGCCUGUAAGACUGGGAUAACUCCGGGAAACCGGAGCUAAUACCGGAUAUUAUUUCAAACCGCAUGGUUUGAAAUUCAAAGACGGUUUCGGCUGUCACUUACAGAUGGGCCCGCGGCGCAUUAGCUAGUUGGUGAGGUAAUGGCUCACCAAGGCAACGAUGCGUAGCCGACCUGAGAGGGUGAUCGGCCACACUGGGACUGAGACACGGCCCAGACUCCUACGGGAGGCAGCAGUAGGGAAUCUUCCGCAAUGGACGAAAGUCUGACGGAGCAACGCCGCGUGAGUGAUGAAGGUUUUCGGAUCGUAAAACUCUGUUGUCAGGGAAGAACAAGUGCCGGAGUAACUGCCGGCACCUUGACGGUACCUGACCAGAAAGCCACGGCUAACUACGUGCCAGCAGCCGCGGUAAUACGUAGGUGGCAAGCGUUGUCCGGAAUUAUUGGGCGUAAAGCGCGCGCAGGCGGUUUCUUAAGUCUGAUGUGAAAGCCCCCGGCUCAACCGGGGAGGGUCAUUGGAAACUGGGAAACUUGAGUGCAGAAGAGGAGAGUGGAAUUCCACGUGUAGCGGUGAAAUGCGUAGAGAUGUGGAGGAACACCAGUGGCGAAGGCGACUCUCUGGUCUGUAACUGACGCUGAGGCGCGAAAGCGUGGGGAGCGAACAGGAUUAGAUACCCUGGUAGUCCACGCCGUAAACGAUGAGUGCUAAGUGUUAGAGGGUUUCCGCCCUUUAGUGCUGCAGCUAACGCAUUAAGCACUCCGCCUGGGGAGUACGGUCGCAAGACUGAAACUCAAAGGAAUUGACGGGGGCCCGCACAAGCGGUGGAGCAUGUGGUUUAAUUCGAAGCAACGCGAAGAACCUUACCAGGUCUUGACAUCCUUUGCCACUUCUAGAGAUAGAAGGUUCCCCUUCGGGGGACAAAGUGACAGGUGGUGCAUG